Molecule: long non-coding RNA, 779 nt
Organism: Hyalella azteca
Lineage: Eukaryota; Metazoa; Arthropoda; Malacostraca; Amphipoda; Hyalellidae
Exons: 2
Source: RefSeq, a predicted model, not a curated record
AAUCGCCAACCCUGGCACCUUGAUAAUUUAAGAAUCGUUUUACUCUCAUUCAAACAACCUUUAAUUUUUCGGGCAGUGAAAGAUAGAUUUAAAUCUUCGUACGAUUUAAAGUAGAUGAAAAUAAACGCUUCAUAAACAAAAAACUAAGAUUAGUUUUUCGAUAAUUUUGAGUAGUUAAAGCUUUUCGGGUUAUAGCCUCAUUACUACUUACUCUGUGCUUUGCUUGGGGUGACGCGUCAUGCAGUUUUAACGAGUACAAUUGAGGUGAAACUAAUAUCGCCCGUGCUGCUUCACUUCACCCCUGUUUUGAGAAUCUUCAGCAGUUCGACUCUUGACUCCAUGAGCGUAACUCCCAUGGUGCUACUUUGACUUCACGUCAGUUCACAUUUCCUUGUGGGAUCUUCAUUGAUACGCCACCGAGAUUUACAGCCUCGAACCUGUUCUAGCAUUCAUAGAGUAGAAGCUUAUCUUUGGAAGCCUCGCCCGAGUACGGUUGGGAUUUGGAUGCGAGCAUUGGGCACGUGCUGGAUUUGGUGUUGUCAGCACUACGAUGACCUCCUCCGGCACAUCUGGUUACCACGUUGGCUACGACUACGUUUUUUGGCCCCGGCAACAUCUGCGCGGGUGUGUACCAGCCGCUGGACCAGCUACGCACCGACGUUCACCGAGGGAUUUUUUAGUACUUCAGGAUUUACGGGUUGGGCAGACGCGGAAGCAAGGCGCAACUCCAUUGCCUCUUCACACCCAGUGAAGUGGAGUCGCUACCGCAAAUUUUGGAG